This 404-nucleotide ribosomal RNA is filed under the name Fusobacteriota bacterium. RNAcentral's name for it is "Fusobacteria bacterium partial 16S ribosomal RNA". It matches the Rfam family "Bacterial small subunit ribosomal RNA", at positions 355 to 776 of the family's 1533-position model. Lineage: Bacteria; Fusobacteriati; Fusobacteriota. The record is from RNAcentral.
UGGGGAAUAUUGCACAAUGGAGGGAACUCUGAUGCAGCGACGCCGCGUGAGUGAUGAAGGAAUUCGUUUCGUAAAACUCUGUUCUAUGGGAAGAAAAGGACUGUACCAUAGGAGAAAGCUCCGGCUAAAUACGUGCCAGCAGCCGCGGUAAUACGUAUGGAGCGAGCGUUGUCCGGAAUUAUUGGGCGUAAAGGGUGCGCAGGCGGCUUUACAAGUUGGAUGGGAAAUAUUGUGGCUCAACCACAAACGUGCAUCCAAAACUGCAAAGCUGGAGUUAAGGGGAGGUAAGUGGAAUUCCUGGUGUAGCGGUGGAAUGCGUAGAUAUCAGGAGGAAUACCGGUGGCGAAGGCGACUUACUGGACUUAAACUGACGCUCAGGCACGAAAGCGUGGGGAGCAAACAGG